GGAUAAAAGAUCCCAACAUUAAUCAUCGGAAUCAUGUUUUAUUGAAUACUCCAACCAGAUAUUGAAUAUAUUUAUGAGCUAUCACCUUAAAAUUUAGGACAAACUAUGAUCCGAAAGAAAGACAUACACUCACCUAUGUUAAAGGACAGCAAUUCUCAAAUGCUCAGCAGCAGACAGAGAAUAUCAAAAUCCGUUACUAAAUUGGCCACAAAUUGUAUCACGAAAAACCACUCAAUACCUCAUUCUAUUUUGGUGCUCAUAGUUCCUAAAUAGUGUAUUCACAGAACAUGCUCUCUUUCCUUUGAGAGUUGAUCUCAGGAAGCUAGAAGUUUUUUGAUUCCUGCUUUCUGCUCUGAUGUUAGCCUUGUUGGGAACUUAAUGUUGAACUUGAUUCUCAGAUUUCCUCUCUUUGUUGGGUCUUUUUGGAUUGGCAUUCCUUCUCUUGGGAUGACUUCCUCAUAGGUUGGAUGAAUCACACUGUUGAUUGGAAUGGAUAAAUUCCUUCCAUCUAAGGUAGUGAGAUGGACGGUGUAACCUGUCAGUGCUUCAGCUAAUGAAAUUUUUUGUGUAAUAAUUAAGUCAUUUCCAUCACGAGUGAACACAGGGUGGGGUUUCUCAUCAAUUAUGAAGACAAGAUCAGCAGGUAUGACAUUCGGUUGUUCAUUCCCUUUCUCUGGGAAGGUGAUCUUUGUGCCCUUCUUCCAGCCAGGCUUUAUGUCAAUUGUUAGGAUUUCCUCCACCUGCAUGGUCUUGCUACACCCAAAAGAAAACGAGGGCAUUAAGCUGAGAUCCAAAACCAACAUCCAAGAACAGCUUAAAUUCAAGUUGGCUUAUAAAAUUAUACCAAAUCAAGUCAGCAUAACAAACUUGUAGCCAAGCACACUCAAAAGUUUUGAAGACUUUCAGAUUAGAAACCAUAACUAACGACAAACAAGUAAGCAUUGUACUUCCCCUAUCACUCAAAAACAGGCAGCCAUUAUUGUAGUAUCAAUAGCUUUUAAUUCUUUUACUGGACUGAAACAACCUAGAAUAAUGUUGAAAACAUGUCUAAUUGAAGCAUAGCCUGAAAGGGAAAAACUUGUGACAAAAAAUAUUGAACCAGAUUUGUAACAUCUAGCUUGGUCAUUAACAAUUUAUAACCUACUCUUUAUUGUAGUUUAUUCAGAAACAAACCAUUCUGAUAGCCCUGAAGACAGCGUGUGACUGCAGCAUUUAGAAGACGCAAGAAACAAUAAUUGGAAACUUCUUGAUCCCUAAACUAGAUCAUAAACGAUAUAUUGCAUCCUAAGAGAUGUAGAGUAACCAGUAACCACAUUCAUUUCUUUUCUUUAGAUACUUUAAUGCAAAUUUCUAUACUAAGAAUCCCAAUUUCUCAAUAAAAACAUCACAACAUUCAAUAUGGAUUAAUAAUGAGACUAUUUUCCAUGAAUACAGACAAGAGAUCAUAUUUAGCUACCAUUACCAUUUACAUAUUUUCUUUUUGAAAAAUGAUUCCAACAAUCCCUUGUAACAGAAAAGGCAAAUUCUUUAGCUAGCUACAUAUUAAGUUAAAUCCUAGAAACUAAUGGACAUUAUUUCUCCUGAUCAAGCAAUAACUAAGACCGCAUAUCUAAAGCUAAAAGAUACUCAAUUUCAUCAAACAGCAGACAGAAAAUCAACACAAAAAGGAACUAUGUAGCCCUUACCCACUCAUGUCAACAAUCUCUCGAGAAAUUUUCAUUUUUUUGGUAGUCCCCUUGUAGAGUUCCUCGAGACUACAAGGCAACCUAUUCUCAAUUGCAGAAGCUUUUCUAGGAACAUUUUGAUGCAUUGACCCCCCUCCUCCAUCACCAUAAGACCCAAAGAUAUCAUCACCAAAUAUUCCACUCGAGAACCUUGUUCCUCUCAUGCCUCCACCACCAACUCCCAUGCCACCAAAUGGUCUUGAAAACCCGAAGAACUCAGCAAAAAUAUCAUCAGCACUCCGAGGAUUGAAUUGGAAUGAUGUAGGAAUAUCUCCAGUGGAGAAGUAGGAAGUUCCACCAGCAUCAGGGGGUGGUACUGAGCCUUUUACACCCUCUUCACCAUAUUGGUCAUACACUGCUCUUUUCUGGGGAUCACUAAGAACCUCAUAGGCCUCAGAGAUUUGUUUAAACUUAGCUUCAGCCUCUCUCUUAUUAUUGGGAUUCUUAUCAGGAUGCCAUUUCAUGGCAAGCUUCCUAUAAGCCUUCUUCAAGUCAUCAUCUUUUGCAUUCCUAUCUACUUGUAAGAUCUUGUAGUAAUCUACCCCCAUCCUUUCUAUUCUUUCCUUUCCCUUCAAACAAACAAAAGCUUCGGUUCUCUGCUCGGUGACGGCGGGUUUCAAAGCUCUGCACUUGAUGAUGUUGGUGGUGGUGGUGGUGUAUUACUUGCGUGUGGUGCUCGUAUGGUUUUGCUCACCUGAUGAUCUGAGAAUCCUGUGGAAGUUUCCAGAAAUAACGACACUGUUUAUUUUUUGGCCUGCUAUGAUUACAUACGG
RNAcentral lists this unclassified non-coding RNA (2497 nucleotides) under Hevea brasiliensis (rubber tree). Lineage: Eukaryota; Viridiplantae; Streptophyta; Magnoliopsida; Malpighiales; Euphorbiaceae. The record is from RNAcentral.